This 727-nucleotide ribosomal RNA is filed under the name uncultured earthworm cast bacterium. RNAcentral describes it as "bacterial SSU rRNA". It matches the Rfam family "Bacterial small subunit ribosomal RNA", at positions 40 to 762 of the family's 1533-position model. The record is from RNAcentral.
CGGCAGGCUUAAUACAUGCAAGUCGAGGGGCAGCACAGGUAGCAAUACUGGGUGGCGACCGGCAAACGGGUGCGGAACACGUACGCAACCUUCCCAUAACUGGUGAAUAGCCUUCCGAAAGGGAGAUUAAUACACCGUAACAUAUAGAUGUGGCAUCACAUUUAUAUUAUAGCUUCGGCGGUUUUGGAUGGGCGUGCGCCUGAUUAGGUAGUUGGCGGGGUAACGGCCCACCAAGCCUUCGAUCAGUAACUGGUGUGAGAGCACGACCAGUCACACGGGCACUGAGACACGGGCCCGACUCCUACGGGAGGCAGCAGUAAGGAAUAUUGGUCAAUGGACGCAAGUCUGAACCAGCCAUGCCGCGUGAAGGAUGAAGGCCCUCUGGGUUGUAAACUUCUUUUAUCUGGGACGAAAAACGGACUUUCUAGUUCACUUGACGGUACCAGAGGAAUAAGCACCGGCUAACUCCGUGCCAGCAGCCGCGGUAAUACGGAGGGUGCAAGCGUUAUCCGGAUUUACUGGGUUUAAAGGGUGCGUAGGUGGGUAGGUAAGUCAGUGGUGAAAUCUUCAAGCUUAACUUGGAAACUGCCAUUGAUACUAUUUAUCUUGAAUACUUUGGAGGUAAGCGGAAUAUGUCAUGUAGCGGUGAAAUGCUUAGAUAUGACAUAGAACACCAAUUGCGAAGGCAGCUUACUACACAGUUAUUGACACUGAGGCACGAAAGCGU